UACGUAGGGCGCAAGCGUUAUCCGGAAUUAUUGGGCGUAAAGAGCUCGUAGGCGGUUUGUCGCGUCUGCUGUGAAAGACCGGGGCUCAACUCCGGUUCUGCAGUGGGUACGGGCAGACUAGAGUGCAGUAGGGGAGACUGGAAUUCCUGGUGUAGCGGUGAAAUGCGCAGAUAUCAGGAGGAACACCGAUGGCGAAGGCAGGUCUCUGGGCUGUAACUGACGUGAGGAGCGAAAGCAUGGGGGAGCGAACAGG
This 253-nucleotide ribosomal RNA is filed under the name uncultured bacterium. RNAcentral describes it as "partial 16S ribosomal RNA". It matches the Rfam family "Bacterial small subunit ribosomal RNA", at positions 524 to 776 of the family's 1533-position model. The record is from RNAcentral.